AGCUCCAAUAGCGUAUAUUAAAGUUGUUGCGGUUAAAAGCUCGUAGUUGGAAUUCUGCUGAGGACAACUGGUCCGCCCUCUGGGUGAGUAUCUGGUCUGGCCUUGGCAUCUUCUUGGGUAACACAGUUGCACUUGAUUGUGUGGUGUGGAACUCAAGGCUUUUACUUUGAGGAAAUCAGAGUGCUUCCAGCAGGCUACUGCCUUGAAUACAUUAGCAUGGAAUAAUAACAUAAGGCUUUGGUUUUAUUUUGUUGGUUUUUAGAAUUGAAGUAAUGAUUAAUAGGGAUAGUUGGGGGCAUUUGUAUUUAACUGUCAGAGGUGAAAUUCUUGGAUUUGUUAAAGACAAACUACUGCGAAAGCAUUUGCCAAGGAUGUUUUCUUUGAU
This 385-nucleotide ribosomal RNA is filed under the name uncultured eukaryote. RNAcentral's name for it is "SSU rRNA". It matches the Rfam family "Eukaryotic small subunit ribosomal RNA", at positions 587 to 977 of the family's 1831-position model. The record is from RNAcentral.